CGCCCGCUCAGCAUCACUCUGCUUCCAGGACGUGAGUCCGUGCGGCCAAACUGACCGGGAUUAGCCACAAUCGCUCUAUCCAUGGCAUUCCCUGACCACAGCCGCUCUUUCUGUCUGUCUAGGAAGCAGGUGCUCGUCUGUUUUACAAACGUGUGCCUAACGCCUCCGGUUUACAAACCAGCCUCUGUGCUCAGGCGCGGAGACUGUCAAUCCAAAUAGCGGAGCUGUUUCUCUUAAGAAGCCGGGUGUCGGCCCUUCAGGACAUGUCCUGGGCUCGGGAAGCUCAGGCUGGAAGUGCCUGGCCGUGGGUCGGCUUUCUGUCUGGGUGUGUGUGCCUCCUAAUUAAGGUGGGAGAGCGGCCACGGUCAUGUUCACUGCACCGUCUGACCCCGCCCUCUGUCCGCCGGCAGCCUGGCCAUCAGGGCGGAGGGACGGUGGACCGCACCAGGCCUGCGCCCUCUCCCUGGAGGCUGCUGUCUUGUGAUUAAGGAAGAAGCUUUCACCUCCCUUUUUAAACUUUAUGCUUUAGAACUAGGCAGCUCAGGGCUGCGUUUUAACGAAUUCACGUUGUGUGACUCCUGCUGAAACCCCUCUGCAGGAAGGUCAUUCCUGCAGGUGAAGUGAUCGUUGCAAGUAUUGUGUGUGGCCAUGUGUUCUGUGUCGGGGUGAGUGAGUGUUAUGUGUGAUUGCAUGCUUUUUCUAACAGAAGUGUCAGAGGGUAGAGAGGGGAGGAGAAGCCUGGAGCUGGGGUGCACAGCCAGGCCCCCAAACCGUGGGUGAGUCAGUGGGUGAGAGGUGAGUGAGGGCAGAGGCCCAGGACACAUGUGCAUGACUGUAGGCCUCUCACACUGUCUGUUCAGGCCGCCCUGUUUAUAAACAGCAGAGGACACGGCAGUGAUAGUAAAUGUAAUAAGACAGAUAUCCUUCCCUAAACAGGGAAAUAAGUUUAAAUAAUCUUCUUUGAAGUCAUUGAAAUGAGGUCCUGCAUACGUGAUGCUACUGGAAAUUGAGCUCACCUCGUUACUGUAAUUACUCUUAGCUUCUUACGGAUCCGUAAAAUCAAAGACUUUAAUUCAGAGAAGGUUCAUUACCUAUUAUUGAAACAGGAAUUAAGCAGAUACCGUUUUAAUGGCGUGGAAGACAGUAGUACUUUGUGCUUUAAUAGACUUUUCCCUCAAGAUCUGCAGAGUUUUCAUUUAUUCUCAAAAAUGAAUCACGACACACACGAACCAUCACCGAUGGAGACAGGUGGCAAGCGUUUUGUUCACUUUGAUAUCAGCCCCUUCCUUUUCUCGAAAAGGCUGGAUUGUUGGUUGGUUUGACUGCGUUAACUUGAGCCAUUAAUUGAGCUUGACCUCUAUAAGCAUUGGGCUGGGCACUUGGAAAGCACAGGUGACCUCAGCCCCACAGGCGGUCUGUAUUUCAGACGUGGAAACUGGAGCCCAGAGUGGUUGUCCGGAGCAAGGCCUCACAGCAGCAGCAAAGCAACCAGGACUGGAAACGGUUUCUAACCCGAAAGCCUGUCUUCUUUUCACAAGACCACAUGCCUCUCACUCUAAUUCAGUUAUUUGCUCAGUGGCGCGCACUGCUGCUGAGACAGAGGACGAUAGGAUACCACUCAGCCUGGCCCGGAGGCAGACAGGUUUCCAGAACAGACACAAAGAGGCAGUUAGUUGGUGCCCUGGAGGACGAGGAAGGCGGGAGCAGCUUGGCCAGGUAUUUAGAGGAAAUGCCACCGCGAAGGGUCCCUGGAGCUGACAUUUGCGCUGGGUAUUAAGGGGUCACCAGGUGGCUUAGAGGAAGGUGGGCAGUGGCUUGCUCUCAGAACCUCUUUGUUCUCAUUCUCACGUGCAGUAGGCACUGCUGACCUCUGCGUCUCGGGAGCUGCUCCUCCUCGUCCCAGAGCAAGCAGGACGGCCACACUGUGUGCAGGACGGUCCGGCAGCUCUACCGCCACCUCAGUGGCUUUGAAAGGCCACGUUGUGUCCGAGGCUCCUAUAGCCAGAGUCCCUGAAAGUGCACAGUGGCAUUCAGAGAGCCUGCCGUGGCUCUGCUACAGCAUGACAAUGAGAGGGAGUUGAGCUUCAAUAUGCAUUAGUACUGACUGGUCUCCUUGCAAUAAUACAACAGCAAUAGGGAAUAGAAAGGUGUGAGCCGAGUGUCAAAGCCAUGGGAAACCAUUCCUAGACUGAGAGAUAGGGACAGGGGGCCGUACAGGGAAGCCACAGCUAAAAGCCCUAGAACACUUUGGGAAGGUAAGUUCCAUGCUGAGCUUUCUAGCACCGAUGUGAGAGCAAGUUUGAAACGCCUCCCGACAUCGCCCCGUUGAUGUCCUGGGGUCCAGGGUGUACUUUCCCAGUGGAGGAGAAGGUUUCUUCUGGAAAGAAUUCCCUUGUGGGUCUGUUCUGGGGAGUCGUAGGGGUUAAAGAGCGUGGACAGGGGAAGCGCCUCAUGGAACCCGGCCGUGGGGCUGCGGGACACCGGCCGGGAGUCAGGGCGACCUCCGCUCCCGGGCUCAGUGACCCCCUGCGCUGAGCGGAAUCCUCACCCUCCAUGACACUGGCAGUGACAGGAGAGGCUCAUGCCCUCCACGUGCCCCGGGGAGCAGGACUGUUCCCCGGGGGGAGGGCUCUGAGGACUAACGCCAGAGGGCGGACAGGCCUAGCGCCGAGGCGGGGCUCCGGGGAGGGUGAGCCACACCACCUCACGUCCUGCCUGUCUUCU
Molecule: long non-coding RNA, 2724 nt
Organism: Pipistrellus kuhlii (Kuhl's pipistrelle)
Lineage: Eukaryota; Metazoa; Chordata; Mammalia; Chiroptera; Vespertilionidae
Exons: 3
Source: RefSeq, a predicted model, not a curated record